AGGACUUUAGCUUAAUUAAAGUUUUGAGUUGCAUUCAUAAGAUGUAGGGUAGUCAUUUGCAAGCCCUA
Molecule: transfer RNA, 68 nt
Filed under: Quasipaa sp. n. TTL-2018
Lineage: Eukaryota; Metazoa; Chordata; Amphibia; Anura; Dicroglossidae
Description: tRNA-Ala
Source: RNAcentral